CGGAGUUCAUCAUCUCCUCCUCUUCAGAACCGUCGAUUCGAAGUAUCCUUCCUUUGAAAAACAAGUCAUCCGACGGUGAGAUAAUAAGGCACGGCGAAUUCGAGGUCAAAGAAAGGACCGUCUUCGGCGUCGGAGUCGUGGUCGGAGUUUUGAGUUACGGCGGAGAUAAUGGUGGUUGCCGCGGAGGAGGAAGAAGAAGAGUUGUGAGAUGAAGGUAGAGAUAUAAGAGGUGGGCCACCACUACCAGCAGCGGAUUUCCAGUACUUGAGUAAGCUAAAAGCUUCCAUGGUUGGGAGAGCCAGACUAAUCACAGGCGACACAUCUUCUCCUCUAAAUACAAGGGGAACCUCAACCUUCAGUAAAGCAUCAGGAGGAGCUCUAAUGAAAGUGACAUUAAGAAUAGCUUCAGUGGCUGCAUGCAUGUGGAGCUGCUCAGCACAGAGGAAAACAUUUCAAAGGCCUCCAACUAGAACAUCUAUAUAGUACACAAAACUUUUAGAAUGAACCAACAAAGUGAGUUAUUCGCGAUUAUUUAGAAUACGAAUACGGAGUAUAUUUCAGCAACAAAUUUAGAUAAA
Chenopodium quinoa (quinoa) is the source of this 578-nucleotide long non-coding RNA. RefSeq lists it as uncharacterized. NCBI's taxonomy places the organism in Eukaryota, Viridiplantae, Streptophyta, Magnoliopsida, Caryophyllales, Amaranthaceae. The transcript has 3 exons. The record is from RefSeq and is a predicted model, not a curated record.